RNAcentral lists this ribosomal RNA (468 nucleotides) under uncultured bacterium. RNAcentral's name for it is "partial 16S ribosomal RNA". It matches the Rfam family "Bacterial small subunit ribosomal RNA", at positions 28 to 507 of the family's 1533-position model. The record is from RNAcentral.
GACGAACGCUGGCGGCGUGCUUAACACAUGCAAGUCGAACGGAAAGGCCCUGCUUUUGUGGGGUGCUCGAGUGGCGAACGGGUGAGUAACACGUGAGUAACCUGCCCUUGACUUUGGGAUAACUUCAGGAAACUGGGGCUAAUACCGGAUAGGAGCUCCUGCUGCAUGGUGGGGGUUGGAAAGUUUCGGCGGUUGGGGAUGGACUCGCGGCCUAUCAGCUUGUUGGUGGGGUAGUGGCUUACCAAGGCUUUGACGGGUAGCCGGCCUGAGAGGGUGACCGGCCACAUUGGGACUGAGAUACGGCCCAGACUCCUACGGGAGGCAGCAGUGGGGAAUAUUGCACAAUGGGCGGAAGCCUGAUGCAGCAACGCCGCGUGUGGGAUGACGGCCUUCGGGUUGUAAACCGCUUUCGCCUGUGACGAAGCGUGAGUGACGGUAAUGGGUAAAGAAGCACCGGCUAACUACGUG